AUACGGAGGGGGUUAGCGUUGUUCGGAAUUACUGGGCGUAAAGCGCACGUAGGCGGACUGGAAAGUUGGGGGUGAAAUCCCGGGGCUCAACCCCGGAACUGCCUCCAAAACUUCCAAUCUAGAGGUCGAGAGAGGUGAGUGGAAUUCCAAGUGUAGAGGUGAAAUUCGUAGAUAUUUGGAGGAACACCAGUGGCGAAGGCGGCUCACUGGCUCGAUACUGACGCUGAGGUGCGAAAGCGUGGGGAGCGAACAGGAUUAGAAACCCUAGUAGUCC
Molecule: ribosomal RNA, 274 nt
Filed under: uncultured bacterium
Lineage: Bacteria
Description: partial 16S ribosomal RNA
Rfam family: Bacterial small subunit ribosomal RNA
Source: RNAcentral